This 450-nucleotide ribosomal RNA is filed under the name uncultured bacterium. RNAcentral's name for it is "partial 16S ribosomal RNA". It matches the Rfam family "Bacterial small subunit ribosomal RNA", at positions 354 to 796 of the family's 1533-position model. The record is from RNAcentral.
GUGGGGAAUCUUCCGCAAUGGACGAAAGUCUGACGGAGCAACGCCGCGUGAGUGAAGAAGGUUUUCGGAUCGUAAAGCUCUUUCGUUAGGGACGAACGUGCUCUUUGUGAAUAAUGAGGAGUAAUGACGGUACCUAAAUAAGAAGCCACGGCUAACUACGUGCCAGCAGCCGCGGUAAUACGUAGGUGGCAAGCGUUGUCCGGAAUUAUUGGGCGUAAAGCGCGCGCAGGCGGGAUAUCAAGUCUGUCUUAAAAGUGCGAGGCUCAACCUCGUGAGGGGACAGAAACUGGUAUUCUUGAGUGUCGGAGAGGAAAGUGGAAUUCCAAGUGUAGCGGUGAGAUGCGUAGAGAUUUGGAAGAACACCAGUGGCGAAGGCGACUUUCUGGACGAUGUCUGACGCUGAGGCGCGAAAGCUAGGGGAGCGAACGGGAUUAGAUACCCGAGUAGUCC